CACAGACAGAGCCGGGAAUUCUCGAGUGGAAAUUUAUCAGAUAACAGUGCAGGGUAAACCUCAGCAUGGCAUGCUGUUUCACAUUAGCAUUUCACAUCCUCAUCAUUCUUAGCAUUCCAUGUGGUUUAGAUCUGUAGGCUUGUUCAUGGAACAUACAUUCAGUUAUCUGGGACUCUUGCAUGCCUUGAAUUUGAAACUACACAUAAAUAGUCCCAGAUUAGACAUGAAGAGUUUCAAAUUAUGCUAUUAGCCACCCAAUUUAAUCGACUUGUUGGAUACAGACCGAUUAUGCCUAAUGUGAUCUGUAGAAAGCUAUGCCUUAAUUAGUGGUUGGAAAAUCCAUGAGAACAUGCUGAGUCAGGGAGAAAUCUUGCCCCUCUCCAUCACGCAGCCAGAUAGAUAGAGCAAGUGACAACAUCUGAAUAAUGCAUAACCCAACAGAUCAAACGUAACUCGUCUUCCACUUAUCACACCACAUUCAGCAACACAAGGUGGGAAGAAACCCAGGAGCUACAGAAUGAAACAGCCUUUGCAGCUUUCUCUCUCCUUUGAGACUCUCUCCUAUGAGGGGCUUCUAAGAAAUGGACCUGAUAUCAUGCACAUGGAAAUGAGGCUGGCUGAGGAACCUUGCCAUUCUAACAGUACUCACAUCAAUGAGUCUAAGUCCUUAGACAGAUAACACUGAUCUGUAGUUCCUGAAGCAGAAGUGAUGUGUAUUUUACUCUGGAAGUCAUCAGUAUUUUACUUCUGACUUUAGUUUGUAAUAAUAAGUUAAUUCGCUUUAUGUGUUCAGUUGGACUGUUUCACAUUAUGUCCACUUAAUUUAUACAGUAUAUUUUGGUUUUUAAUUAGACAUCAAAUGCACAUUCAUGUAUGCAAACUGAAUGCAUUGUUUUAAUAAAUAAUUGUCUCGGUUCAUGAAUUCACUCUCUCUCUCGUCUAUCGUGUUGUUAUGUGUGUGUCUAUGGGCGUGGUCACUGAUCAGCGAUGAUCAGCAGCGCCAGCUGGUUUCAAUUGUUUGUGGCCUAUAUAAGUUCAGUAACUGGUGUUUCAUGUUGUCAGAUCGUUGUUUCUCCCCGGUGUGCUCCCGUACCUGUUUCCUGUGUCCUAGUUCCUGCCUGAGUCUUCCUGUGUCGUCGUCGUCAUCUUGGAUCUUCACCUUCUUUGGAUUAUUCGUUCACCUUCACGAGGAUUGCACACUCACCGGGAUUCGAGGGAUCAUCACCGAAGCAAGCACCAUCAUCGUUGCCCACCGAGGUCCCUGUGUCACCGUGCCAUCAGCCUUGUGUUCGCCCCUGUGUUACCCUGUUUAUUACUGUGACUUUCUUACCUUUUUAGCUUGGUCAAUAAACACGCCUUGCAAUUACAUCCUGUCUCUGUGUUACGUAACAAUAAUGCCCUUUUGAGUGUCUCUGUAUAGCUUGCGUGAAUGUUAAAGGGGGGGUGAAAUGCUAUUUCAUGCAUACUGAGUUUUUUACACUGUUAAAGAGUUGGAUUCCCAUGCUAAACAAGGACAAAGUUUCAAAAAUUAAGUUGUACGUUUGAAUGAGUAUUUCUGUUCCAAAAAUACUCCUUCCGGUUUGUCACAAGUUUCGGAAAGUUUUUUUCGAGUAUGGCUCUGUGUGACGUUAGAUGGAACGGAAUUUCCUUAAAUGGGUCCUGAGGGCACGUUUGCCGGAAGAGCGCACGCUCCCGUAUAGCAGAGCAGAGAGAGGCUGAGCACAGACAAUCACUGAUCAGAGCGAGAGCAUCGCGAAAUGUCACAAAAGGAGUGUGUUUUUGGUUGCCAGGGCAAGACAACCCUGCACAGAUUACCAAAGAAAAAACAGCAUUAAGGGACCAGUGGAUGGAGUUUAUUUUUACAGAGCAUCAACGGAGUUGUGCAAGUGUUUGUGUUUGUUCCCUGCGUUUCUAAAAUGCUUGUUUUACAAACAAAGCCCAGUUUGACGACGGAUUUGCGUAUCGUUUAUUUCUUAAGGAUGAUGCAAUCCCAACGAAAAAGGGUCACGAUUGUGUGUUGGAACCACAGGCGGUGAGUAAAACUGCUUCAAAUAUCUCUGCCUCCUUGUUAGUGCGUUCGCCUCCCAUCGGAGACCCGGGUUCGAGCCCCGCUCGGAGCGAGUGCUUUCUGCUGCUGCUCUCGUUCAGUUUCAGCCUUCACAGCUGUCACAGCUUCCAAACGCUCUCAAAGCAACUGGCGCUCAUGAUUCUUUAGCUCCGCCCACACGUCACGCCUCCAGCCGCUCGUGUUUUUCCGGGAAAAAUCGGUACAGACUAUCUUUCUCUUAUGAAUAUAAUAAAACUAAAUACUUUUUGGAGUUAUGAAGGAUGCAGUACUACUCUAUAGGUACUCAAGAUUAACAUGAUAUUGAGUGAAAACGCAUUUCACCCCCCCCCCCUUUAAAAUCAAAACUAAAUGGAAAUCACAACGCAUUUUUUAAUAAUAAAUAACAAGUAGCGCAUCUUUCAUAGACAUAACUCAGAAAACAAUUCAGAAUAUAUAUUUCUGUUCUUGAAUAUCUAGCUUACUAGCUAAUAUGUGGCUGAAACAAAGCAAAGUGUCUUUCAAAGAUCUGAGGUCACUAAACCUGUCAAUCAAAUCUCAUGAUUCAUCAACCCUAUAAAGCCUACUGUAUCAUAUUUGAUACACAAAAUGGCCCAAAAUUAUCAACAUGAUCAAAACUUUGCUG
Molecule: long non-coding RNA, 2690 nt
Filed under: Carassius auratus (goldfish)
Lineage: Eukaryota; Metazoa; Chordata; Actinopteri; Cypriniformes; Cyprinidae
Description: lncRNA (ENSCARG00000046395.1)
Source: RNAcentral